Molecule: transfer RNA, 88 nt
Filed under: Actinomycetota bacterium
Lineage: Bacteria; Bacillati; Actinomycetota
Description: tRNA-Ser
Rfam family: tRNA
About the family: Transfer RNA (tRNA) molecules are approximately 80 nucleotides in length.
Source: RNAcentral
GGAGGGGUGCGAGAGCGGCCGAAUCGGCACGACUGGAAAUCGUGUGUCGGGCAACCGACCGUGGGUUCGAAUCCCACCCUCUCCGCCA